Molecule: long non-coding RNA, 2058 nt
Filed under: Mytilus galloprovincialis (Mediterranean mussel)
Lineage: Eukaryota; Metazoa; Mollusca; Bivalvia; Mytilida; Mytilidae
Source: RNAcentral
GGGACUUAAUUUGCAUGCGCAAACCUCAAACAUACCUUACUUUUUGAAAAUAACGGUAUAUAAAGGGGACGUGAAGUUAAUGUGAUCAGAUUUAAGCUAUAACGCAGGAAAUAACAACUAAAGGGAAAAAACUUUAAAGCAUUAUCAACACUAAUUUCAACCAGAAAAAACAGUUUAAGGUAAAUUUAGACUAUUUAUUUUGAGACUAUUUGUUGUUUAUAUGCAAUAUAUGCAUGGGUGUUAACUAUAAUGUCAUUAGGUUUCGGUGGAAAAGUUGUCUAACUGGUAAUCAUACCAGUCACCACAUCUUCUUAUUUUAUAUAAACGUUGAAUGCUAAUAGUUAUCAAAGGUACCAGGCUAAUAAUUUUAUACGCCAGACGAGCGUUUCCUCUACAUAAGACUCAUCAGCUAACAUCAAGCCAUCCAAGGAGAUUUGAUCAUUUAAUUCAUUGGUUUAAUAGAAAAGUUUCCCCCAGCUAGGUUUGAAAAUCCUAGAUUGUUUAAAAUAGAAUAAAGUUUCUUUGUCCAGGGGUUCUUUUUUUCAGUUGCCAGAAAAACUUUGGAUACAAGUGUGUUUUCAGACCUUAAAAUAUGAUAAAAAAAACUUAAUACAAGAAAAUGAUAUUUUUGACAACAACAGUAGCCUGCAAAGUUCAUCUCUACAAGCAGUAUUAAUUGCUUUACAAUGAACAACUAGAAUUUUUUUUAUGAAUUUCAUAUGGAAUUUUUCCAAAAUGGAAUUGUCUCCCGAAUUAUCAAAAACACCCCUAAUCUCACUACAAUACAGCAAUAUAGGGCUUACAUUUUGUACUAAUGAAUCAAAUAAUUUUUCUAAAAGUUUACAAGGAUCAUCCAGUCCAAUAGACAGCUUUCGAGUUCGAUGCAUUUCCGUCAAAAACUCUGGUUUUAGUGAACGUCAUUUGUGCGUUUAGGGGCGUCGUCACUUCCGUUCCAACGUUGAGCGAGUGGUUGGAAAACUAUAAUUCUAUAUUGUACGAAUUAAUCGGCAAAUUGAAUUCUCAAAAUUGACAAUCAGCAUUGCUGUCAUUAGGGAAUUGUCAUUAAGUACCUACAGAGCAACCAUUAUUUCUUGUUUAUCCUGCACAAUGACUAUCACUAAGACGCUUGAUGAACGUAAAUAGUACAGGGAUACAGGCAACCCCCUCUAUCUGGUAAAUGACGUCAUAAAGGCGCGUAUAAUUAACGAGUUUUUUCCGGUGACGGAUGAACUCGAAAGUGGUCUAUUGUUUUCUUAAUCUUAAAACAUGCUUUCCUAGCUUUUUCCAUUAGUAAGCAUGUAAGGAUACAGCUAAGUUAAAAUUGCCAUUACACUUUAACAUUAUUCCCAAGUAACAAUAUUUGGAGACCGUUUGUGUGGCAUUAUCAUAUGAUUAUAGAAAAACUCAUUUAGAUAUGUUUUACCAUUAGCAUUAAAUACUAAUUAUUGUAACCUUUGAUUUUUGAACAUUAACAUGUAGCAUCCAAUUUGAGCAAUAUGUACCAAGAAUAUUGAGACUGGUUUGUAAACCAGUUUUGCUUUCUGAUAGUAAUACAAUAUCAUCAGCAUAUAACAAACAAUUUACAGACAAAUCACCAACUCUAACUGGUUCACAGCUACCAUUGAAUAAAUCUUUUACGAUAUCAUCAAUAAAAAAAUAAAAAAGUGUAGGGCUCAAAACAUCCCCUUGUGUAACACCUCGCUCUGAAGUAAAUGCAGUACUAAGACAAUUUGAAAUUUAAUUCUAGUGGUAGUAUUUGCAUACAUAGCAGAAUUUUUUUUAAAAAGCUUUUUAGGUAAACCUGAUUUAAACCUGAUUAUAUAUAUAUACAUGAAUACUUAUAUUGUUGCAGGAUGGAGGAACCUGUUAUAGAACAGAUCUAUUGUGUAGUCUGUAAAGAGAAGACAAACAACUUACAAAUGGAAAUAAUUAUAGAUCCAUCAACUGGAAAAAGAAGAGCUAAAGCAUUUUGUGAAAUUUGCAAAAAAGAAAAAUCAAUGUUCCUAAAUUAAAUGGAAGUACAAACAUUUUGAUAAAUCAGAUAGCAAAAUAAACUAG